GAUGAACGCUGGCGGCGUGCUUAACACAUGCAAGUCGAACGGAAAGGCCUCUGCUUGCAGGGGUACUCGAGUGGCGAACGGGUGAGUAACACGUGGGUGAUCUGCCCUGCACUUCGGGAUAAGCCUGGGAAACUGGGUCUAAUACCGGAUAGGACAAUGGUUUGGAUGCUGUUGUGGAAAGUUUUUCGGUGUGGGAUGAGCUCGCGGCCUAUCAGCUUGUUGGUGGGGUAAUGGCCUACCAAGGCGUCGACGGGUAGCCGGCCUGAGAGGGUGUACGGCCACAUUGGGACUGAGAUACGGCCCAGACUCCUACGGGAGGCAGCAGGGGGGAAUAUUGCACAAUGGGCGCAAGCCUGAUGCAGCGACGCCGCGUGGGGGAUGACGGCCUUCGGGUUGUAAACUCCUUUCGCUAGGGACGAAGCGUUUUUGUGACGGUACCUGGAGAAGAAGCACCGGCUAACUACGUG
This 467-nucleotide ribosomal RNA is filed under the name uncultured bacterium. Its description in RNAcentral is "partial 16S ribosomal RNA". It matches the Rfam family "Bacterial small subunit ribosomal RNA", at positions 28 to 507 of the family's 1533-position model. The record is from RNAcentral.